CCUACGGGAGGCAGCAGUCGAGAAUCAUUCACAAUGGGGGAAACCCUGAUGGAGCGAAGCCGCGUGGGGGAAGGAAGGUCUGCGGAUUGUAAACCCCUGUCAUGUGGGAGCAAAUUAAAAAGAUAGUCCCACAAGAGGAAGAGACGGCUAACUCUGGGCCAGCAGCCGCGGUAAUCCAGAGGUCUCAAGCGUUGUUCGGAAUCACUGGGCGUAAAGCAGGCGUAGGCCGGUUCGUAAGUCGUGAUUGAAAGGCGCGGGCUCAACCCGCGGACGGAACAUGAUACUGCGGGACUAGAGUAAUGGAGGGGGAACCGGAAUUCUCGGUGUAGCAGUGAAAUGCGUAGAUAUCGAGAGGAACACUCGUGGCGAAGGCGGGUUCCUGGACAUUAACUGACGCUGAGGCACGAAGGCCAGGGGAGCGAAAGGGAUUAGAUACCCCAGUAGUC
This 446-nucleotide ribosomal RNA is filed under the name uncultured bacterium. RNAcentral's name for it is "partial 16S ribosomal RNA". It matches the Rfam family "Bacterial small subunit ribosomal RNA", at positions 338 to 795 of the family's 1533-position model. The record is from RNAcentral.